This 64-nucleotide transfer RNA is filed under the name Asymmetricata circumdata. RNAcentral describes it as "tRNA-Ala". The record is from RNAcentral. Lineage: Eukaryota; Metazoa; Arthropoda; Insecta; Coleoptera; Lampyridae.
AGGAUAAUAGUUAAAAUAACGUUUAAUUUGCAUUUAAAAAAUAUUGAAAAUUCAAUUUAUCUUA